CCCUUAGAUGUUCUGGGCCGCACGCGCGCUACACUGACUGGUGCAACAAGUGUCUGACCUUGGCUCGAGAGGCCUGGGCAACCUUUGAACGCCAGUCGUGCUGGGGAUAGAUUCUUGCAAUUAUUAAUCUUCAACGAGGAAUUCCUAGUAAACGCAAGUCAUCAGCUUGCAUUGAUUACGUCCCUGCCCUUUGUACACACCGCCCGUCGCACCUACCGAUUGAAUGGUCCGGUGAAAUCCCGGGACGGCGGCUUGGUCGCUUGCGUCCGACUGCUGAAACUUGAUUAAACCAUAUCAUUUAGAGGAAGGUGAAGUCGUAACA
Molecule: ribosomal RNA, 322 nt
Filed under: uncultured eukaryote
Lineage: Eukaryota
Description: partial 18S ribosomal RNA
Rfam family: Eukaryotic small subunit ribosomal RNA
Source: RNAcentral